Ornithodoros turicata is the source of this 857-nucleotide long non-coding RNA. RefSeq lists it as uncharacterized. NCBI's taxonomy places the organism in Eukaryota, Metazoa, Arthropoda, Arachnida, Ixodida, Argasidae. The record is from RefSeq and is a predicted model, not a curated record. The transcript is spliced from 3 exons.
AGCACACGUUAUAGAAUACUCACGCUCAGUAACCUGCUACAACGCUGAAGGCGCAAGGCUAAAACAUGUUUCGCUUCCACGUAAUUCUGCUACUUCUGGUGGUGCUGUCUUCCUUUGAAAGUGGCAAUACGCGUAGACAAGCUUGGUGCCACAGAUAUUCAUGCUCAUUUGGCGGUAGAAAGGAACCCGGGUUUUGCGGAACAGAAUGUGACUGCGUAGAAUCAUACAACUGGCUCAACCAACGUUCCUACACAUGCUACGAUAAAAGAAGACCGUGAUGAAAGGUCGGCGGUCAACGGCAACAGCAGCCCUUCGACAAAACAUUUCCCUAUCGGUGGAGGACGCAACACGUUCGUGAAUUUUUGCAGCACUAUACAGAAAAAGCUUUAUAACAACGCACGAGAGUUGAAAAAAAAAAAAGAGUAGAUGCGCCACCUUUGGUGUGUACUCGCAGCUGAAAUACAGCGACAGCUGUGACUCUACGCACUGUGGCCAGACUUUAACACGAUUGAUUCUGUAUGUGUGAGAGUUCUUAAAGUAUAAUUUGUCAAUAUUUCGAAAUUAUCGGUUACAAAUAAUUUGCAACUGAGAUGUUUGGAGCUGAGAUUGUUCGGAUGUUUAGAAAUAAAAAGUAAUGGACGACAAUAUCGGCGGAUUCCGACUUAAGGCUUUUGCUUCAACAAAAAGUAAUGUUCGGUAACGAUAGGGAGCUCCUCCUAACACUACAACGGCCAAUGUCAAUCGCGUGUUCUCGGAAAAUAAAGUUGGGAAAAAAGUUGUUGACCAUCCACACUUAUUUCUCUAUUGAAAUCAAAAUAUAAACAAAUAAAUACGAAGCAUAUAUGGCACGUGGCCAA